Molecule: ribosomal RNA, 443 nt
Filed under: uncultured bacterium
Lineage: Bacteria
Description: partial 16S ribosomal RNA
Rfam family: Bacterial small subunit ribosomal RNA
Source: RNAcentral
CCUACGGGAGGCAGCAGUGGGGAAUAUUGGGCAAUGGGGGCAAGCCUGACCCAGCAACGCCGCGUGAAGGAAGAAGGCUUUCGGGUUGUAAACCUCUUUUAUCAGGGACGAAGCUAGUGACGGUACCUGAUGAAUAAGCCACGGCCAACUACGUGCCAGCAGCCGCGGUAAUACGUAGGUGGCAAGCGUUAUCCGGAUGUACUGGGUGUAAAGGGCGUGGAGGCGGGAGGGCAAGUCAGAAGUGAAACCCAGGGGCUCAACCCAUAGCCUGCAUUUGAAACUGUACUGCUUGAGUGCUGGAGGGGCAAGCGGAAUUCCGUGGGUAGCGGUGAAAUGCGUAGAUAUUCGGAGGAACACCAGUGGCGAAGGCGGAUUGCUGGACAGUAACUGACGCUGAGGCGCGAAAGCGUGGGGAGCAAACAGGAUUAGAUACCCUAGUAGUC